GGGGAUUUAGCUCAGAGGCAUAAGCACCUGCCUUGCAAGCAUGCAGUCAUGAGUUCAAUCCCCA
RNAcentral lists this transfer RNA (64 nucleotides) under Cavia porcellus (domestic guinea pig). It matches the Rfam family "tRNA", at positions 1 to 62 of the family's 71-position model. From Rfam's summary of the family: Transfer RNA (tRNA) molecules are approximately 80 nucleotides in length. Their secondary structure includes four short double-helical elements and three loops (D, anti-codon, and T loops). Further hydrogen bonds mediate the characteristic L-shaped molecular structure. tRNAs have two regions of fundamental functional importance: the anti-codon, which is responsible for specific mRNA codon recognition, and the 3' end, to which the tRNAs corresponding amino acid is attached (by aminoacyl-tRNA synthetases). tRNAs cope with the degeneracy of the genetic code in two manners: having more than one tRNA (with a specific anti-codon) for a particular amino acid; and 'wobble' base-pairing, i.e. permitting non-standard base-pairing at the 3rd anti-codon position. The record is from Rfam by way of RNAcentral. Lineage: Eukaryota; Metazoa; Chordata; Mammalia; Rodentia; Caviidae.